RNA transcript from Magnolia sinica, 992 nucleotides. RefSeq lists it as uncharacterized. The transcript is spliced from 5 exons. The record is from RefSeq and is a predicted model, not a curated record. Lineage: Eukaryota; Viridiplantae; Streptophyta; Magnoliopsida; Magnoliales; Magnoliaceae.
UUGUGCAGUCAUCAGGAUAUUUGUGUUGGGACCUGUACCAUUUUAGUUCUGUCUUUCUUCAAUAAAGCAGUGGUGUGUCUAUAUUGAACUGAAACUUGAAUUUAAUGUCUGGAACAUGCUAGAUUGGGCUCUUAGUCAAUUAAGUGAUGCAGAGAAGCUGUAUAAACAACUUGCGCAUUUAAAAUCAAGACCUAGGCAAAAAUUUCAACGUAAUGGUUUCCUGGGACUUUUUGGACGAAAGGUUGAUGUUGUAGAUCACACUGAGAAGAGGUUACAAGAUUUGGAAGAGAAUGUUAGAAUGCAACAAUCAGAUGUUUCAUUGAUAGGAGAGGUCUUAAUACGCCCGAUGGGUGCUGAUGAACAUAUUUAUUCCAAUUAUAUGGACUCAAAGCAGUGGUUACAAGAUACGGAUGUGCUCGAGAUGAUUCUGAAUAAGUUCAGCUCCUCACCAUAGUUGUAAUGGGGAGGUCUCCUUGUUGUGAAGAACAUGGUAUGAAGAAGGGUCCAUGGACCCCAGAAGAAGAUCUAAGGCUUGUGGACUACAUUGAGAAGCAUGGUCAUGGAAGUUGGAGAGGACUCCCAAAGCUCGCGGACCUGAAUAGGUGUGGAAAAUUCUCAAGUGAAGAAGAGCAGAUCAUUGUCAACCUUCAUUCAGUUCUUGGAAAUAAGUUUUAGGCAUGGAUGAAUGGGAGCUAUAGAUCGAUGGAUUUUAUUUUAUUUUAUUUUGAAGCUAUUCAAUUUAUUAUUGUAAAUAUUAUUCGCGGCAGCUCGAUGCAUGUGAAAGGGCCACAUAGGCAUGUAUUUUUUUAUAGGAAAACAAUCACUAGGCAUAAUCAACUUCCUCAGAGGAAUGUGAAAUCAAGUGGGCCUUGACCAAAAGUCAGGUAGGCUUUGACCAAAAGGUUCAAUGAUAAGGUCCAUCAUUUUAUGAGUUGGAGAGGCAGAACUCAUAAAAUGGGACUCACUGUGAGUCAGGCAUCUAUUUUGUGUCA